This 390-nucleotide ribosomal RNA is filed under the name uncultured bacterium. Its description in RNAcentral is "bacterial SSU rRNA". It matches the Rfam family "Bacterial small subunit ribosomal RNA", at positions 29 to 414 of the family's 1533-position model. The record is from RNAcentral.
AUUGAACGCUGGCGGCAUGCUUUACACAUGCAAGUCGAACGGUAACGCGGGGGGUAACCCCUGGCGACGAGUGGCGAACGGGUGAGUAAUACAUCGGAACAUGUCCUGGAGUGGGGGAUAGCUCGGCGAAAGCCGGAUUAAUACCGCAUACGCUCUGAGGAGGAAAGCGGGGGACCUGGUAACGGGCCUCGCGCUGCGGGAGUGGCCGAUGUCGGAUUAGCUAGUAGGUAGGGUAAAGGCCUACCUAGGCGACGAUCCGUAGCUGGUCUGAGAGGAUGAUCAGCCACACUGGGACUGAGACACGGCCCAGACUCCUACGGGAGGCAGCAGUGGGGAAUUUUGGACAAUGGGGGCAACCCUGAUCCAGCCAUGCCGCGUGAGUGAAGAAGG